Mesoplodon densirostris (Blainville's beaked whale) is the source of this 413-nucleotide long non-coding RNA. RefSeq lists it as uncharacterized. NCBI's taxonomy places the organism in Eukaryota, Metazoa, Chordata, Mammalia, Artiodactyla, Ziphiidae. The record is from RefSeq and is a predicted model, not a curated record. The transcript is spliced from 3 exons.
AAUAUUAAUAACUGAGGCAAAAAGUUGUAUUUUUCCUAUUAACAGGGCAGUGGGAAAGAACAGCAAAGUAGUGGCCUGGAAGAAAUAAGAGAGUCACUCAGGAAUCAUGGAGUGCAGUUGGAAUUAGAAUACUCUUCUUUGAUACACGACCGGGAAAUUAGGUUCAACAAUGGAUGGAUGAUUAAGAUCGGAAGGGGACUUGAUUAUUUUAAGAAACCACAGAGUCGUUUUUCCCUUGGAUAUUGUGAUUUUGAUUUAAGACCAUGUCAUGAAACGACAGUGGACAUUUUUCAUAAUAAGCACACACAAAAAAUAUGAUGGGUAGUAGCCUAAUUUACAUUAUAUAUUUCUAUUUUAAAUGAAUAUUCGAUUUUUUUUUUUACUUUGGACAGAUCAUUCCUAUAAUGUAUGAA